GGGGGCGUAGCUCAGUUGGUUAGAGCGUCGGCUUGUCACGCCGAAGGUCGCGGGUUCGAGUCCCGUCGCUCCCGCCA
RNAcentral lists this transfer RNA (77 nucleotides) under Holosporaceae bacterium. RNAcentral describes it as "tRNA-Asp". It matches the Rfam family "tRNA". Rfam says of the family: Transfer RNA (tRNA) molecules are approximately 80 nucleotides in length. Their secondary structure includes four short double-helical elements and three loops (D, anti-codon, and T loops). The record is from RNAcentral. Lineage: Bacteria; Pseudomonadati; Pseudomonadota; Alphaproteobacteria; Holosporales; Holosporaceae.